Oncorhynchus tshawytscha (Chinook salmon) is the source of this 2397-nucleotide long non-coding RNA. NCBI's taxonomy places the organism in Eukaryota, Metazoa, Chordata, Actinopteri, Salmoniformes, Salmonidae. The record is from Ensembl.
AAGACCCAGAGUUACCUCUGCUGCAGAGGAUAAGAUCAUUAGAGUUAACUGUCUCUCGUGAGGACCGCCACAAGAAAGGAAGACCCAGAGUUACCUCUGCUGCAGAGGAUACGUUCAUUAGAGUUAACUGUCUCUCGUGAGGACCGCCACAAGAAAGGAAGACCCAGAGUUACCUCUGCUCCAGAGGAUAAGAUCAUUAGAGUUAACUGUCUCUCGUGAGGACCGCCACAGGAAAGGAAGACCCAGAGUUACCUCUGCUGCAGAGGAUACGUUCAUUAGAGUUAACUGCACCUCAGAUUGCAGCCCAAAUAAAUUCUUCACAGAGUUCAAGUAACAGACACAUCUCAACAUCAACUGUUCAGAGGAGACUGUGUGAAUCAGGCCUUCAUGGUCAAAUUGCUACAAAGAAACCACUACUAAAGGACACCAAUAAUAAGAAGAGACUUGCUUGGGCCAAGAAACAUGAGAAAUGGACAUUAGACCGGUGUAAAUCUGUCCUUUGGUCUGAUGAGUCCGAAUAUGAGAUUUUUGGUUUCAACCACUGUGUAUUUGUGAGACGCAGAGUAAGUGAAUGGAUGAUCUCCGCAUGUGUGGUUCCCACCGUGAAGCAUGGAGGAGGAGGUGUGAUGGUGCUUUGCUGGUGACACUGUCUGUGAUUUUUUAAUUUUUAAUUUAUUGCACACUUAACCAGCAUGGCUACCAAAGCAUUCUGCAGUGAUACGCCAUCCCAUCUGGUUUGGGCUUAGUGGGACUGUCAUUUGUUUUUCAACAGGACAAUGAACCAACACACCUCCAUGCUGUGUAAAGGCUAUUUGACCAAGAAGAGUGAAGGUGCUGCAUCAGAUAACCUGGCCUCCACAAUCACCCGACCUCAACCCAAUUGAGAUGGAUUGGGAUGAGUUGAACCGCAGAGUGAAGGAAAAGCAGCCAACAAGUGCUCAGCAUAUGUGGGAACUCCUUCAAGACAGCUGGAAACGCAUUCCAGGUGAAGCUGGUUGAGAGAAUGCCAAGAGUGUGCAAAGCUGUAAUCAAGGCAAAGGGUGUAAAUAAGAAUUUGACUUGCCUAGUUAAAUUUAAAAAACAAUUAUAAUUUAAUAAAAGCCAUGAAUUGUUCUGUGUAUCUAGGAAUAUGCUAUUUGUAUUAACAAACAAGUGCCUUAUAUAUUAUUAUAUAUAUUAUAUAUUAUUAUCUGUGAAAAGGUGCUUAUUGUGUAGGGUAUGUACGCUACCAUUCCAAAGAUGUUUCUGUUGUGUAUAACCAUGUGUAUGUGACAAAUAAAAUUUGAUUUGUUAAAGAUAUUGAAGCACUAAUGCUAUCACGAAUGAAAAUUGGCAUUAUAUAGAGUAGAAAUGAUACCAGAACUAGAUAGUAAUUCACCACUGUGCUAUAUGAAAUAAAUACAAAAAAAUGUAAUGCUGCAAUUGUUGACAAAAUAAUUGACUUGUUUUUAACUUUUUGUAUGAAAUAAAAAAUGUUGCCUCCUUCCUAGUAAAAAGGGAUGUACCUACAGUUAUAGGACAGGUUACAUGUGUAUGCAUUACUUCCUGAAUGUUUGGAUUGGGAGGAAGUUUAUCUGUUUGUGCCAGUCUGUGCUAUCAUGCCAAAUCCUUGGCUUGACAGGUGACCACAAACAGAUCUGUGACCAGGCUAUAGAAGGAGACCACAGUUCUGGGACCAGGCUAUAGAAGGAGACCACAGUUCUGGGACCAGGCUAUAGAAGGAGACCACAGUUCUGGGACCAGGCUAUAGAAGGAGACCACAGUUCUGGGACCAGGCUAAAUCAUAUGGGUUCAAAUGUAGAAGUACUGUAAAAUGGUAAAGAUCCGAUGGAACGUGUGAAGGGUGUUCUGAUGGAACUGUGUGAAGGGUGUUCUGAUGGAACUGUGUUCUGAUGGAACGUGUGAAGGGUGUUCUGAUGGAACUGUGUUCUGAUGGAACGUGUGAAGGGUGUUCUGAUGGAACUGUGUUCUGAUGGAACUGUGUGAAGGGUGUUCUGAUGGAACUGUGUUCUGAUGGAACUGUGUUCUGAUGGAACUGUGUGAAGGGUGUUCUGAUGGAACUGUGUUCUGAUGGAACUGUGUGAAGGGUGUUCUGAUGGAACUGUGUUCUGAUGGAACUGUGUGAAGGGUGUUCUGAUGGAACUGUGUGAAGGGUGUUCUGAUGGAACUGUGUGAAGGGUGUUCUGGUGGAACUGUGUGAAGGGUGUUCUGGUGGAACUGUGUGAAGGGUGUUCUGGUGGAACUGUGUGAAGGGUGUUCUGGUGGAACUGUGUGAAGGGUGUUCUGAUGGAACUGUGUGAAGGGUGUUCUGAUGGAACUGUGUGAAGGGUGUUCUGGUGGAACUGUGUGAAGGGUGUUCUGGUGGAACUGUGUGAAGGGUGUUCUGGUGGAACUGUG